This 451-nucleotide ribosomal RNA is filed under the name uncultured bacterium. RNAcentral's name for it is "partial 16S ribosomal RNA". It matches the Rfam family "Bacterial small subunit ribosomal RNA", at positions 29 to 523 of the family's 1533-position model. The record is from RNAcentral.
AGCGAACGCUGGCGGCAGGCUUAACACAUGCAAGUCGAACGCCCGUAGCAAUACGGGAGUGGCAGACGGGUGAGUAACGCGUGGGAACAUGCCCUUUGGUUCGGAAUAACUCAGGGAAACUUGAGCUAAUACCGGAUAAGCCCGAGAGGGGAAAGAUUUAUCGCCGAAGGAUUGGCCCGCGUCCGAUUAGCUAGUUGGUGAGGUAAUGGCUCACCAAGGCGACGAUCGGUAGCUGGUCUGAGAGGAUGAUCAGCCACACUGGGACUGAGACACGGCCCAGACUCCUGCGGGAGGCAGCAGUGGGGAAUAUUGGACAAUGGGGGCAACCCUGAUCCAGCCAUGCCGCGUGAGUGAUGAAGGCCCUAGGGUUGUAAAGCUCUUUCGGCGGGGACGAUAAUGACGGUACCCGCAGAAGAAGCCCCGGCUAACUUCGUGCCAGCCGCCGCGGUAA